Molecule: ribosomal RNA, 753 nt
Filed under: Acanthamoeba sp. M3 YH-2010
Lineage: Eukaryota; Discosea; Longamoebia; Acanthamoebidae
Description: SSU rRNA
Rfam family: Eukaryotic small subunit ribosomal RNA
Source: RNAcentral
GGAUCUAGGGACGCGCAUUUCAAGCGCCCGUGUCGUCGGGUCAAACCGGCGACUGCGUUGGCGUUGCGGGCUCGGUCCGUCGGUGCCCCAUUCAAAGGGCUAUCGGCGUGUCAACCGGCCCGCCCGUCCCCUCCUUCUGGAUUCCCGUUCCUGCUAUUGAGUUAGUGGGGACGUCACAGGGGGUCCAUCGUCGUGCGGCGUCAAAACCGUGCGGCGGUGGGUCCCUGGGGCCCAGAUCGUUUACCGUGAAAAAAUUAGAGUGUUCAAAGCAGGCAGAUCCAAUUUUCUGCCACCGAAUACAUUAGCAUGGGAUAAUGGAAUAGGACCCUGUCCUCCUAUUUUCAGUUGGUUUUGGCAGCGCGAGGACUAGGGUAAUGAUUAAUAGGGAUAGUUGGGGGCAUUAAUAUUUAAUUGUCAGAGGUGAAAUUCUUGGAUUUAUGAAAGAUUAACUUCUGCGAAAGCAUCUGCCAAGGAUGUUUUCAUUAAUCAAGAACGAAAGUUAGGGGAUCGAAGACGAUCAGAUACCGUCGUAGUCUUAACCAUAAACGAUGCCGACCAGCGAUUAGGAGACGUUGAAUACAAAACACCACCAUCGGCGCGGUCGUCCUUGGCGUCGGUCCUUCGGGGCCGGCGCGAGGGCGGCUUAGCCCGGUGGCACCGGUGAAUGACUCCCCUAGCAGCUUGUGAGAAAUCAUAAGUCUUUGGGUUCCGGGGGGAGUAUGGUCGCAAGGCUGAAACUUAAAGGAAUUGACG